AUGAAAAGCUUUGAUUUAUUGCUGGGAGACGAAGCUUUGGUUUACUCUGGACUCGUUUGCGUUUAUGAUGCGUCGCUUUGCAUGUGCAUCCAAAGAAACGGGUCAAACCAAUUCAACCAACCCGAUUUAUUGUUCUCCAUCCGAUCUCUUUCGAUCCGCUUCAAGUAAGGCAUCUUCAAAAGAGAUGGAACGGAUUGACAACCUAUUUUAUUUUUAUGCCAGUAGGUCUUCUGGUAUGAUUGACCCAGAAGGAAUCGAAACUCUAUGUUCCAACAUGGAAGUUGAUCACACAGAUGUUAGGAUCUUGAUGCUUGCUUGGAAAAUGAAAGCUGAAAAACAAGGAUACUUUACCCUGGAGGAAUGGAGAAGAGGACUAAAAGCACUGAGGGCUGAUACUGUAAGUAAGUUAAGGAAGGCCCUACCAGAGCUAGAAAAAGAGGUCAGGAGACCAUCAAACUUUGAGGAUUUCUAUUCCUAUUCAUUCUGCUAUUGCCUGACAGAGGAGAAACAAAAGAGUAUUGAUAUAGAAAGCAUAUGUCAAUUGCUGGAUCUUGUUUUAGGAUCCCAAUUCCGUGCACAGGUUGACUAUUUUAUUGAGUAUUUGAAGAUUCAGAGCGAUUAUAAGGUCAUAAACUUGGAUCAAUGGAUGGGCUUUUUUCGAUUCUGCAAUGAGAUAACUUUCCCGAACCUUGGUAAUUAUAAUCCGGACCUCGCUUGGCCGUUGAUCCUGGACAACUUCGUAGAAUGGAUGCAGGUGAAGCAGAGCUAAAAUCUAUUAGCUUUGGUCCACUUGAUUCUCAGCUAUAAACUUCAUUCGGUAUAAAUACAGGAAUGUUCAAGUUGUAGCACAAUGUUUAUCCAGCUUAUCUUCAAAACGUGAAGGUCUUCCUCAAAACAUACCUUCCAAAGUUAGUUUCUCGGUGUUACAUAUAUGCAGAGGAUAAUCUCAAUGUAUCGAAUUGUAUUUGUCUUGAUAUUUAAAAAUAUUGUAUUAUGAUGUUAUAUUAUGAACAAAAUUGAUUCAUCAGAUACAGCAUAAAUGAAAUUGGUAAUAUUUCUUUCA
This is an RNA transcript of Hibiscus syriacus, 1063 nucleotides long. It is a transcript of the gene named DCN1-like protein 4, with no coding region annotated. The transcript is spliced from 10 exons. Lineage: Eukaryota; Viridiplantae; Streptophyta; Magnoliopsida; Malvales; Malvaceae. The record is from RefSeq and is a predicted model, not a curated record.